GGAGAAGCUUGCUUCUUUGCUGACGAGUGGCGGACGGGUGAGUAAUGCUUGGGAAUCUGGCUUAUGGAGGGGGAUAACUACGGGAAACUGUAGCUAAUACCGCGUAAUAUCUUCGGAUUAAAGGGUGGGACUUUCGGGCCACCUGCCAUAAGAUGAGCCCAAGUGGGAUUAGGUAGUUGGUGGGGUAAAGGCCUACCAAGCCGACGAUCUCUAGCUGGUCUGAGAGGAUGACCAGCCACACUGGAACUGAGACACGGUCCAGACUCCUACGGGAGGCAGCAGUGGGGAAUAUUGCACAAUGGGGGGAACCCUGAUGCAGCCAUGCCGCGUGAAUGAAGAAGGCCUUCGGGUUGUAAAGUUCUUUCGGUGAUGAGGAAGGUGUUUGUUUUAAUAGAACAAGCAAUUGACGUUAGUCACAGAAGAAGCACCGGCUAACUCCGUGCCAGCAGCCGCGGUAAUACGGAGGGUGCGAGCGUUAAUCGGAAUGACUGGGCGUAAAGGGCACGCAGGCGGUGACUUAAGUGAGAUGUGAAAGCCCCGGGCUUAACCUGGGAAUUGCAUUUCAUACUGGGUCGCUAGAGUAUUUUAGGGAGGGGUAGAAUUCCACGUGUAGCGGUGAAAUGCGUAGAGAUGUGGAGGAAUACCGAAGGCGAAGGCAGCCCCUUGGGAAUAUACUGACGCUCAUGUGCGAAAGCGUGGGGAGCAAACGGAUUAGAUACCCUGGUAGUCCACGCUGUAAACGCUGUCGAUUUGGGGACUGGGC
RNAcentral lists this ribosomal RNA (763 nucleotides) under uncultured bacterium. Its description in RNAcentral is "bacterial SSU rRNA". It matches the Rfam family "Bacterial small subunit ribosomal RNA", at positions 72 to 829 of the family's 1533-position model. The record is from RNAcentral.